UAUCCGUAGGUGAACCUGCGGAAGGAUCGUUAUCGAAAAGCAAUCCGGGGGGGAGGCCGCCGAGCGAAGUUUGGUAGAUCGUAGGGAUUGUCGCUGGCCUUUGGAAACGAAGGCAUGUGCACGUUCCGAGUUCUCCUUAGUCCUCCUUUGCCUUUCCUUUGGAAGACCCUUUCUUCACACCCGUGCACACAUUGUAGGUCUCCGCGAGGGGAUCUAUGUCUUCACAAAACUCUACGUAUGUCCAGGAAUGUAUCUAAAGCGUCGAACGGCUCGGCUCCAUGCCCGGUCGCCGACGGUAAAGAACCAUAAUACAACUUUCAGCAACGGAUCUCUUGGCUCUC
This 341-nucleotide unclassified non-coding RNA is filed under the name plant metagenome. RNAcentral describes it as "partial contains small subunit ribosomal RNA, internal transcribed spacer 1, and 5.8S ribosomal RNA". The record is from RNAcentral.